CUACCAUGCAGUCGAGCGAUGAAGUUCCUUCGGGAAUGGAUUAGCGGCGGACGGGUGAGUAACACGUGGGUAACCUGCCUCAAAGUGGGGGAUAGCCCUCCGAAAGGAGGAUUAAUACCGCAUAAAGUUAAGCUUCCGCAUGGGAGCAUAACCAAAGGAGCAAUCCGCUUUGAGAUGGACCCGCGGUGCAUUAGCUAGUUGGUGAGGUAACGGCUCACCAAGGCCACGAUGCAUAGCCGACCUGAGAGGGUGAUCGGCCACAUUGGAACUGAGAUACGGUCCAGACUCCUACGGGAGGCAGCAGUGGGGAAUAUUGCGCAAUGGGGGAAACCCUGACGCAGCAACGCCGCGUGGGUGAUGAAGGUCUUCGGAUUGUAAAACCCUGUCUUCUGGGACGAUAAUGACGGUACCAGAGGAGGAAGCCACGGCUAACUACGUGCCAGCAGCCGCGGUAAUACGUAGGUGGCGAGCGUUGUCCGGAUUUACUGGGCGUAAAGGAUGCGUAGGCGGAUAUUUAAGUCAGAUGUGAAAUACCCGAGCUUAACUUGGGUGCUGCAUUUGAAACUGGGUAUCUAGAGUGCAGGAGAGGUAAGUGGAAUUCCUAGUGUAGCGGUGAAAUGCGUAGAGAUUAGGAAGAACACCAGUGGCGAAGGCGACUUACUGGACUGUAACUGACGCUGAGGCAUGAAAGCGUGGGUAGCAAACAGGAUUAGAUACCCUGGUAGUCCACGCCGUAAA
RNAcentral lists this ribosomal RNA (738 nucleotides) under uncultured bacterium. Its description in RNAcentral is "bacterial SSU rRNA". It matches the Rfam family "Bacterial small subunit ribosomal RNA", at positions 49 to 806 of the family's 1533-position model. The record is from RNAcentral.